This is a long non-coding RNA of Cucurbita moschata (crookneck pumpkin), 599 nucleotides long. RefSeq lists it as uncharacterized. Lineage: Eukaryota; Viridiplantae; Streptophyta; Magnoliopsida; Cucurbitales; Cucurbitaceae. The transcript has 2 exons. The record is from RefSeq and is a predicted model, not a curated record.
AUUUCAAAUCCCAAAAAGUAAAGAACUCGCAAAACCCUCCCACGCGAAUUUUUGUCGAACUGAAUUGAAAAAAGUCCAUUGUGCUGAUAUCGGCGGCAAAUUGCGUUCUUGAUUCCCAAUCCGCACUUCCACGGUAAAGAGGUUUAGCUCCACAUCUAAGUGAUGCCCCUGUCGUAGGCCAAGAUCUUUCCCUUCAUCUCUAUUUAUGGCUCCAUUGUUUGACUACUGCACUGAGAGAGUACUUCGCCCUCGUGAGAGUUAGCUACGCCUUAUUUCGAUAAACUUGACCCAUGGGAAGGAGAAUAAUUCUAGCAUGCACAUGCCUCCCAACACUGUUCUCAAGGUUUUCAUCCCUAUAGGAAGACCCUCAAGAUCCAAGACCCACCCAUCUUAUGAUGUUUGAUUGUACCAUGACAUAGGCAUGUGCCAUUAGAUAGUUCACUCAGAACUUCAUUUAUUGUAAGGUGGGGAGAGAUGACAACCUGCCUCCAUAAAGGACUUUCUAAGACUGCCUUUGAUAGGCACAAACGUCAAAAGUAGUCAAGGGUGUUCAAACCUGACAUACAACAUUCUUUUCUAUACCAUUGGUGUGAUUUCAA